GAUGAACGCUGGCUCCAGGCUUAACACAUGCAAGUCGAGGGGAAACGACGGGGAAGCUUGCUUCCCCGGGCGUCGACCGGCGCACGGGUGAGUAACGCGUAUCCAACCUGCCUCUGACUGAGGGAUAACCCGUCGAAAGUCGGCCUAAUACCUCAUGGCAUCGUCUGCGGGCAUCCAACGACGAUUAAAGAUUUCAUCGGUCAGGGAUGGGGAUGCGUCUGAUUAGCUUGUUGGCGGGGUAACGGCCCACCAAGGCUACGAUCAGUAGGGGUUCUGAGAGGAAGGUCCCCCACAUUGGAACUGAGACACGGUCCAAACUCCUACGGGAGGCAGCAGUGAGGAAUAUUGGUCAAUGGGCGGGAGCCUGAACCAGCCAAGUAGCGUGCAGGAUGACGGCCCUAUGGGUUGUAAACUGCUUUUAUGCGGGGAUAAAGUGAGGGACGUGUCCUUCAUUGCAGGUACCGCAUGAAUAAGGACCGGCUAAUUCCGUG
This 491-nucleotide ribosomal RNA is filed under the name uncultured bacterium. RNAcentral's name for it is "partial 16S ribosomal RNA". It matches the Rfam family "Bacterial small subunit ribosomal RNA", at positions 28 to 507 of the family's 1533-position model. The record is from RNAcentral.